CCGGUGCCAUGGAAACGCGGCCUGUUGUCCCCGGCGCUGCGGGCAGCCUGGCGCAGCACGGGGCUCCGCGUGGCCCGUCCGGCCGCCUUCCAUGGACUCGGCCAGGGCCUACUGCCUCCCGCAAGUCCCCGCCUCGAGCCCCGCCCUUUCCUUCCCCUCUUCCCCGGCGGCGGCGGGCCUAACCCAGGCGCGGGCGCGGGCCGAGGCGCAGCUGCGCUCCGCGGUAGCCUGCGAGCGGGCCAUGCGCUGGAGCGAGGUUGUUGAACAUUAUACAGCACUCUUGAAAACUCUGAGCAAAGAGGAACUUCCUAAAGACUUUGAGCCUGGGCCUUACUAUUCACAACUGCUAUUUGAAACCUAUUAUCAUUUAGCUGUAGCUUUCCAAAGACAGAAUCACCAUAAGGAAGCAGUUCAAGAGCUUAAUAAAGCAAUAGACGUUGCAUCUAUCCCUAAGAUUGCUUGUCAAGUUGGAUGUGUUUCCAGAACUUUCCUUCAUACACCACUAUUUGCGAGAAGAGCGUAUGCAUAUGUAAAAUGUGGUCGUUUGAAAGAAGCAAUAGAUGAUGCUAACAAGGCUGUUGAGUUAGACCCUUUGAACCCUGCUUAUAAACUGGACAAAACUAGUAAAAAUUUCUUUGAUGUAGAAGAUUUCCAUAGUCCUAAAAUGGAUGAUUUCUAUGAUAGGUAAGUACUAGUGCACAUGGCAACUGCAAGGAGAAGUAAAUGACUUAUUUUUAUUAUGGCUGAAGUUAGGAUA
RNAcentral lists this long non-coding RNA (757 nucleotides) under Gopherus agassizii (Agassiz's desert tortoise). RNAcentral's name for it is "lncRNA (ENSGAGG00000001546.1)". The record is from RNAcentral. Lineage: Eukaryota; Metazoa; Chordata; Testudines; Testudinidae.